Molecule: long non-coding RNA, 438 nt
Organism: Micropterus dolomieu (smallmouth bass)
Lineage: Eukaryota; Metazoa; Chordata; Actinopteri; Centrarchiformes; Centrarchidae
Exons: 3
Source: RefSeq, a predicted model, not a curated record
CCUCACGUUGACCUCUCCUGACCCCUGAUCGGUGGACAGGAAAUGACAGCGGAAGCAGUUCAAAGCGUUGGGCAGGAGCUGCGAGGCAUGAGGGUGGAGAGCGAGGAAGAUGGCAGAUUUUACCAAAGGCAAGUGGAGCUUAAGCAAAGGGUUAGGAACCAAAAUGGAGGACGCACUGUACCUUUCCUCACCAAGUAGUAGAGCGGGACAUCAGAGGACAUGACAGCACAUUUAUAGAAAGAGCCACAAAGCUUGUGUGAUAUUUGGCACCCGGUGUGUAAGAGGGAGCACAGGGUGAGACGAGAGAGAGAGAGAGAGAGAGAGAGAGAGAGAGAGAGCGCAGUGGAGAGUUUAAAAUGUUGUGACAGAAAGGAAGAACUUUUUUUUCUUUCACAGGCUGCAUCACUGACAGAUUUUGAAACUUAUUUUGUUGUUGAA